Molecule: ribosomal RNA, 119 nt
Filed under: Pteropus alecto (black flying fox)
Lineage: Eukaryota; Metazoa; Chordata; Mammalia; Chiroptera; Pteropodidae
Source: RNAcentral
GUCUACGGCCAUGCCACCCUGAACAAGCCCGAUCUCGUCUGAUCUCAGAAGCUAAGCAAGGCCGGGCCUGGUUAUUACUUGGAUGGGAGACCACCUAGGAAGACCAGGUGCUAUAGGUG